UACGGAGGGGGCUAGCGUUGUUCGGAAUCACUGGGCGUAAAGCGCACGCAGGCGGAUUGAUAAGUCAGGGGUGAAAUCCUGGAGCUCAACUCCAGAACUGCCUUUGAUACUGAAGAUCUUGAGUCCGGGAGAGGUGAGUGGAACUGCGAGUGUAGAGGUGAAAUUCGUAGAUAUUCGCAAGAACACCAGUGGCGAAGGCGGCUCACUGGCCCGGUACUGACGCUGAGGCACGAAAGCGUGGGGAGCAAACAGG
Molecule: ribosomal RNA, 253 nt
Filed under: uncultured bacterium
Lineage: Bacteria
Description: partial 16S ribosomal RNA
Rfam family: Bacterial small subunit ribosomal RNA
Source: RNAcentral